CAACCCUCAGGCCCCCGGGCCUGGCGUUGGGGAUCGGCGGAGCCCCCCGUGGGCACACGCCGUCCCCCAAAUACAGUGGCGGUCCCGCCGCAGCUUCCAUCGCGUAGUAGCUAACACCUCGCGACUGGAGAGCGGCGCGGCCACGCCGUAAAACACCCAACUCUUCUGA
Molecule: unclassified non-coding RNA, 169 nt
Filed under: Fusarium solani
Lineage: Eukaryota; Fungi; Ascomycota; Sordariomycetes; Hypocreales; Nectriaceae
Also listed under: 1 other name
Description: partial internal transcribed spacer 2
Source: RNAcentral